UUCAGCAGCCAUACUGCCUGCCGUUCAGACCAAGUAAUCCACUUGAAACUAAGUAGGGUUGGGCCAGGCCAGUACUUGGAUGGGAGACCCAGUAGGAUAGCUGGGUUGCUGCUGGAA
RNAcentral lists this ribosomal RNA (117 nucleotides) under Paramormyrops kingsleyae. The record is from RNAcentral. Lineage: Eukaryota; Metazoa; Chordata; Actinopteri; Osteoglossiformes; Mormyridae.